RNAcentral lists this small RNA (971 nucleotides) under Pongo abelii (Sumatran orangutan). RNAcentral describes it as "processed transcript". The record is from RNAcentral. Lineage: Eukaryota; Metazoa; Chordata; Mammalia; Primates; Hominidae.
CAAAUUAUUAAAACCACAACGAGAUGCCCCUUCACACAUGCCAGAAUGGUGAUAAUAAAAAAGACAGACAAUAACAGAUGUUAGAAAGGAUGUGGAGAAAUUGGGUCCUUCAUAAACCACUGGUGGAAGUGGAAAAGAGUGCAGCCACCUUGGAAAAGAAUUUGGCAGUUACCACAUGUUAAAUACAGCAUUACCCUAUGGCCCAGCAAAUUCCACUCCUAGGUGUGUACCCAAGAAGAAUGAAGACAUAGGUCUGCACAAUAAUUUGUACAUCCAUGUCCAUAGCAGCAUUAUUCAUAAUAGCCAAAAAGUGGAAACAAAUGCUCACCAGCUGAUGAAUGCAUAGCAAGAUGUGGUAUAUCCAUACAGAUCUAUUAUUGGGUAGUAACAAGAAUGAAGUACUAAUACAUGAUACAACAUGGAUGAACUUCAAAAGUAGAGGAAGCCAUGCACCAAAUGUCAUUCUUGGAAACGUGGGAAAUUUAGGAAAUGACAUUGAAGAGGAAGAAUUCUGUUGAAAUAGUGAUUCUCAACGUGGGGUCCUUGGACAGCAAGGAUGAGGAAAAAACACAGCCAUCCAGAGCCAGAAGUUAUAUGCUGACAAAAUGCCACCAACUACUUUAGUGGAAGCUGUUGUUGGGAUAGGGAAUCUGCACCCUCUAGAGAAGCAGGGACCUCAGCUGCUGAGGAAAGGCUGUCAAGAGUUAUCCAUGUUAUUUUUUUUUCAUUUUUGUGAGUACAGUGCCUCCUAAACAAUCACAUAAGGAUUUGAGACUGUUAGAACUCGGUGUUGUUAUCCACACAAAUGGAAACAUUAUUUUUAAAACAUGUUUGUAAAUACCAGAUGAAGUAAAAAAUUGACAUUAACUGUAUUAUAGAAAUGGGAAAGUAUAUCCUUUUGUAAUAUAAGAUAUAUUAGAAGCAAAGAAGGGAAAUGGGCUUAAAACAAAAAUAAAUGUAAAGAUCAGUUU